RNAcentral lists this ribosomal RNA (305 nucleotides) under uncultured bacterium. RNAcentral's name for it is "bacterial SSU rRNA". It matches the Rfam family "Bacterial small subunit ribosomal RNA", at positions 334 to 650 of the family's 1533-position model. The record is from RNAcentral.
UUAGCCUACGGGGGGCAGCAGUCGAGAAUCAUUCACAAUGGGGGAAACCCUGAUGGUGCGACGCCGCGUGGGGGAAUGAAGGUCUUCGGAUUGUAAACCCCUGUCAUGUGGGAGCAAAUUAAAAAGAUAGUACCACAAGAGGAAGAGACGGCUAACUCUGUGCCAGCAGCCGCGGUAAUACAGAGGUCUCAAGCGUUGGUCGGAAUCACUGGGCGUAAAGCGUGCGUAGGCUGGUUCGUAAGUCGUGUGUGAAAGGCGCGGGCUCAACCCGCGGACGGCACAUGAUACUGCGAGCCUAGAGACAA